AGGGAAGCUGGUGAGGCCUCAGUGAAGGCCGAUGCCGGCACGGUCCCGCCACUGUAAGUGGGGAGCACCGUCCCGUUCCGCUCGGCGGAGCCACUGUCCGUGUUGCACGGAUGGGAAGGUGGGACGGUCGCGAAGAUCCACGAGUCAGGAGACCU
This 155-nucleotide non-coding RNA is filed under the name Candidatus Rokuibacteriota. The record is from RNAcentral.